This 202-nucleotide long non-coding RNA is filed under the name Mytilus galloprovincialis (Mediterranean mussel). The record is from RNAcentral. Lineage: Eukaryota; Metazoa; Mollusca; Bivalvia; Mytilida; Mytilidae.
AAAACAACCAAAAAUAAUCAACAUUAGCAACAAUAUUAAUAUUUAUAAGUUAAACUUUUAUAAAUUGGUUCUUUUAAAUGAAAAUUCACAUUAAAUAUCUGCAUUCCUGCAUCAAAUUUUGCUGACUUGAUAGAAAAUCUGGACCUUUGGUUCUCUGUUUUUUACAAUCCAAGAUGGAGGAAGACACCCAUACCACCUUAAA